AAAUAAGAAGCAAUAAUGCGUAUAGUUUCGACCUAUAAAUUUGAUAUAUUUUAUCCUUAUUUA
RNAcentral lists this transfer RNA (63 nucleotides) under Paradoxopsyllus custodis. RNAcentral's name for it is "tRNA-Arg". Lineage: Eukaryota; Metazoa; Arthropoda; Insecta; Siphonaptera; Leptopsyllidae. The record is from RNAcentral. RNAcentral also lists the same sequence under 1 other name.